AUGAAGCGGAGCUCCCCAAAACGCAGCGCGGUCCGGAGCCGACAUCAGCCGGUUGAGCCCUACUUGCUGACUGCACGCCCGAUGGUUUUCACUAACCUCUUAUUCAGAGUGAAGUUUUUUGUUUGUUUGUGGUGUUUUGUUUUUUUUUUCGGCUUCACACCCACCGGGGGGGGACGUUUGUUUGAGGGACAACUAAGAGCGAGCCCGCUUAAAGCGCGCAGAACCGAGCCGCCCCUCUCCUCAACUCCCCGCACAAGCACACAUCUCCUCCUCUUCCUCCUCCUCCUCCUCCUCCCCGUGCUCCCGAGGCCAGGCAGAGCCCCUCGGAGCUCCUGCAGAGGGGCACGUUUCACCCGCACCCCCCGCACUUUAGCAGCGCUCCCAGCUCCCGCACCGCCAACCGGCAAAGCAAAGCACACCAAAAUACCUGCUCCGGCCACGGGAAGCCAAGGCGCUGCCAGCUGCCGGCGCAGCCCCGCGGCCGAGGGCCUAGAGACCCUCAAUAAACUGGGACCCCCACAUAUAGGCACAGCACAAAUGCUUAAAGCAUUAGUAUCCCUAGAACUGCACAUCCUCCAGUGACCAGGAAAGAAGGGAAGAGAGAGGAUCCUGAAGUCAUACAGCAGGUGACACAACCCAAGACCAGGGAUGUUCAUUUCCUGAAAGCUCAGAGAAAUGAGAGGAUCCGGGGAUGCUGUGCAUGACCCAAAAUGAAGUUUUUCUCCUCCCUGUGCCUAAACAAAACCCUCUACAGCCCAGCGCUUCAGGCCAUACAUAGAAAAUCAGUUGGCACCACAGGCUGAUUUGGCAAAGAUUUUCUAUGGAUACUACUGAAAAUAAAACUAAGAAAAGCACAGCCUCAGCAGGCGCAGUCUGGCACACACAACCUGGCACAACAAUCUGCCAUAGAGGGCUGUAUACCCUGAAGAAAUUCUUAUACAUGUGCCUAAACAAAACCCUCUUAUUCUCUUCCCAAAAGUUAAUCUAGGUUUACUUUUAAAUAAAGAAAUACAUUUUCCACACAAAACCUGCAGAGAAAGGGUAAAGGAGGCUUUGCUUUGUGGGAAGCAUCAUUCUCCUGGUGCCUAGCCAAAGCUUUGCCAAACUGAAACAUUGAUGACUUAUUUUUCUUGUCAACAGAGCUCUGAAGUCACAGAGGGAGGAGCUGAUCAUCCCUCUUGUGCUUUUCUCAACAGAGGGCAAAGUGGAAGCUGCACCCCCUUCUUGGGGCAGCUCCUCAGGGCAGCCACACCAAGCAGCUCAUGCAUAUUUGGGUGAAGAGCAGGUCCCUCCUUUCCUUACUGCAGGGCAGCAUGGCUGUGACACAUGCUACAGGCACAGAUCUCUGCUGUCAUCAGGGCCAGCUUAUCCACUUGGCUCUCCAAAGAAUUCCAGGUUGCUGUUCCAUUUUUAUUAUAUCCGCGCUAAGCUGCAAAACUGGCCCCUCAUCUCAGCAGCAUCCCCCAAGGAGAUGACGGGUUCUCAGGAUCUCCUCGAGUGCCUCGGGGGCCAGGGCCAGAGCAGCAGUGAAAUGCACUGCUUAGCUCCUGACUCCCAGCACAGCAAAAAGCAUGCAUAAUGAAAGCAGAAGACUCGUGUGUGUGUGUGUGUGUACAGGAAAAUCCCUUUAUUUAGUAAACAAAUAGCACCAUGAGAGGCAUUCCAAGGAAAAAAUAAUGUUUUUCUAAAUGAAUUUGCCUUCUCUUAAAUGCAAGCUUGGUCUAAUCUGUGCAUGUUUUAGCCUAGAGAGAGGCCCUGCCCUCUAGGAAAUGCUGCUCAUUUGUGCAGAGUAAAUUAGCUACAUGAUAUGUUGCAUUUUCCAAAUGCUGAAAGGCUUUGGCUCCUCAUUUCCUUUUAACUGGAAUAUUUUCUCAGGUUUAUGAGACCAAAUACUGUAUUUUGCUCUAGUCUGUGCUUUCAAAUGUAAUUUGCUCAUGCUAUUUGAACUGAAGCCACUAUGUCAUUGUUGAAUACCCAUGUUAAAAUCUGCAUAUAUAAUAAAGAUAUACACAUUAAUUUAUAUAAAUAUUAUGCAUACAUGCAUUAGAUAUAUGUGUACCCCGUUUUAAAAAUUAAUUGCUAAGGAUCCUUUUAUUUUUUUUCAGUCACACAGAAUGUUCUAUCUUUAAUGAGUGCAUUUCUGUAAAAAAAAAAAAAAAGAAAAAAAGAAUGUUUUAAAUAAUAUAAAUUAAUAAAUAUAUUCCAAUUCCAAACCAGCACAAUACUGUGAACAUUGUUUCAUUCA
Molecule: long non-coding RNA, 2245 nt
Organism: Cairina moschata (Muscovy duck)
Lineage: Eukaryota; Metazoa; Chordata; Aves; Anseriformes; Anatidae
Source: Ensembl